RNAcentral lists this unclassified non-coding RNA (284 nucleotides) under Glomus sp. Its description in RNAcentral is "partial contains 5.8S ribosomal RNA and internal transcribed spacer 2". The stretch from base 1 to 71 matches the Rfam family "5.8S ribosomal RNA", at positions 84 to 154 of the family's 154-position model. Lineage: Eukaryota; Fungi; Glomeromycota; Glomeromycetes; Glomerales; Glomeraceae. The record is from RNAcentral.
GUGAAUCAUCAAAUCUUUGAACGCAUAUUGCACUCUCUGGUAUUCCGGAGAGUAUGCCUGUUUGAGGGUCAGUUAAAUAAAAAUCGGGGUUUUUGCCACCUUUGGUGGUGACGCUUCGGAAUUGGGACGUCUUUAGCUGUCGGAUAAGUGACUUAAAAUUUGUUAAUGAUAGCUGAAGGUAUUUAAAUUUAUUUGGUACGCCGUUGUAAUAUCUAAUGUUUAUUAGGUUGUGGCAUUCUCAUGACUCACGUCUAUAAUUUUUCAUCUAAUGACCUCAAAUCAGU